This 500-nucleotide ribosomal RNA is filed under the name uncultured bacterium. RNAcentral's name for it is "partial 16S ribosomal RNA". It matches the Rfam family "Bacterial small subunit ribosomal RNA", at positions 30 to 523 of the family's 1533-position model. The record is from RNAcentral.
AUUGAGCGCUGGCGGCAUGCCUUACACAUGCAAGUCGAACGGCAGCGGGGACUUCGGUCCGCCGGCGAGUGGCGAACGGGUGAGUAAUGUAUCGGAACGUACCUUUCAGUGGGGGAUAACGUAGCGAAAGUUACGCUAAUACCGCAUAUUCUCUGAGGAGGAAAGCAGGGGACCUUCGGGCCUUGCGCUGGUGGAGCGGCCGAUAUCAGAUUAGCUAGUUGGUGGGGUAAAGGCCCACCAAGGCGACGAUCAGUAGCUGGUCUGAGAGGACGAUCAGCCACACUGGGACUGAGCCACGGCCCAGACUCCUACGGGAGGCAGCAGUGGGGAAUUUUGGACAAUGGGGGAAACCCUGAUCCAGCAAUGCCGCGUGUGUGAAGAAGGCCUUCGGGUUGUAAAGCACUUUUGUCAGGAACGAAACGGUGGGGGCUAAUACCCUCUGCUAAUGACGGUACCUGAAGAAUAAGCACCGGCUAACUACGUGCCAGCCGCCGCCGUAA